Molecule: ribosomal RNA, 851 nt
Filed under: uncultured fungus
Lineage: Eukaryota; Fungi
Description: bacterial SSU rRNA
Rfam family: Eukaryotic small subunit ribosomal RNA
Source: RNAcentral
AGUGGCAGUUAGAGAGCUCGUAAUUGAACCUUGGGCCUGGCUGGCCCGUCCGCCUCACCGCGUGCACUGGUCCGGCCGGGCCUUUCCUUCUGGGGAGCCGCAUGCCCUUCACUGGGUGUGUCGGGGAACCAGGACUUUUACUUUGAAAAAAUUAAAGUGUUCAAAGGAGGCCUAUGCUCGAAUACAUAAUCAUGGAAUAAUAAAAUAGGACGUGUGGUUCUAUUUUGUUGUUUUCUAGGACCGCCCCAAUGAUAAAAAGGGAUAGUCGGGGGCAUCAGUAUUCGAUUGUCAGAGGUGAAAUUCUUGGAUUUACUGAAGACUAACUACUGCGAAAGCAUUUGCCAAGGAUGUUUUCAUUAAUCGUUGAACGAAAGUUACGGGAGCGAAGACGAUCAAAUACCGUCCUACUCCUAACCAUAAACUAUGCCGACUAGGGAUCGGGCGAUGUUAUCUUUUUGACUCCCUCGGCACCUUACGACAAAUCAAAGUCUUUGGGUUCUGGGGGGAGUAUGGUCGCAAGGCUGAAACUUAAAGAAAUUGACGGAAUGGAACCUCCGGACUGUAGCCUGCGUUUAAUUGACUCCUUCGGGGAAACUCAGGAGGGCGGACACAAAAGGAUUGACAGAUUGAGAGCUCUGUCGUGACCUCUGUGUGGUGGAGCAUGGCGUUCAUAUUUGUGAAGUGAGUGUCAACUUAAUUGCCAAACGAGAGAGACUCACCAGCUCAACAACCUCGCUAGCAUUACAUGGUCGCAGCUUCUAGAGGACUAUGGAUCAAGACGAUGCAUGUCUGAAGCAAUACAGUCAGUGACCAACUCGAUCUACUGCGAACGCACGCAGCGCUACACUGAC